RNAcentral lists this ribosomal RNA (254 nucleotides) under uncultured bacterium. RNAcentral's name for it is "partial 16S ribosomal RNA". It matches the Rfam family "Bacterial small subunit ribosomal RNA", at positions 524 to 776 of the family's 1533-position model. The record is from RNAcentral.
UACGUAGGGGGCAAGCGUUGUCCGGAUUUAUUGGGCGUAAAGAGCUCGUAGGCGGUUGGGUAAGUCGGGUGUGAAAACUCCAGGCUCAACUUGGAGAUGCCACCCGAUACUGCUCUGACUUGAGUUCGGUAGGGGAGUGGGGAAUUCCUGGUGUAGCGGUGAAAUGCGCAGAUAUCAGGAGGAACACCGGUGGCGAAGGCGCCACUCUGGGCCGAAACUGACGCUGAGGAGCGAAAGCGUGGGUAGCAAACAGG